AUACGUAGGGCGCGAGCGUUGUCCGGAAUCAUUGGGCGUAAAGGGCGCGUAGGCGGCCCGGUAAGUCUGGAGUGAAAGUCCUGUUUUUAAGAUGGGAAUUGCUUUGGAUACUGCCGGGCUUGAGUGCAGGAGAGGUAAGUGGAAUUCCCAGUGUAGCGGUGAAAUGCGUAGAGAUUGGCAGGAACACCAGUGGCGAAGGCGACUUACAGGACUGUAACUGACGCUGAGGCGCGAAAGUGUGGGGAGAAAACAGGAUUAGAUACCCUGGUAGUCCACACUGUAAACGAUGAAUGCUAGGUGUAGGGGGUAUCGACCCCUUCUGUGCCGCAGUCAACACAAUAAGCAUUCCGCCUGGGGAGUACGGCAGCAAGGUUGAAACUCAAAGGAAUUGACGGGG
Molecule: ribosomal RNA, 397 nt
Filed under: uncultured bacterium
Lineage: Bacteria
Description: partial 16S ribosomal RNA
Rfam family: Bacterial small subunit ribosomal RNA
Source: RNAcentral